CCAUAUCGCGUUGAAACACCAGUCCUCACACGAUCACCGAAGUUAAGCAACGUCGAGCCUUGUCAGUACUUACAUGGGUAACCACUUCGGAAUACCGGGUGGUGUAA
This is a non-coding RNA of Acanthosepion pharaonis, 107 nucleotides long. The record is from the annotation of a GenBank genome assembly. NCBI's taxonomy places the organism in Eukaryota, Metazoa, Mollusca, Cephalopoda, Sepiida, Sepiidae.